GACAGAGGGUGCAAACGUUGUUCGGAAUUACUGGGCGUAAAGCGCGUGUAGGCUGCCCCGAAAGUCAGAUGUGAAAGCCCCGGGCUCAACCUGGGAACUGCAUUUGAAACUGGCGGGCUUGAGUAUGGCAGAGGGGGGUGGAAUUCCGCGUGUAGCAGUGAAAUGCGUAGAGAUGCGGAGGAACACCGAUGGCGAAGGCAGCCCCCUGGGCCAAUACUGACGCUCAGGCACGAAAGCGUGGGGAGCAAACAGG
RNAcentral lists this ribosomal RNA (253 nucleotides) under uncultured bacterium. RNAcentral describes it as "partial 16S ribosomal RNA". It matches the Rfam family "Bacterial small subunit ribosomal RNA", at positions 524 to 776 of the family's 1533-position model. The record is from RNAcentral.